GACCCCAUCGUCUAGUGGUUAGGACGGCGGCCUCUCACGCCGUUAACGGGGGUUCGAAUCCCCCUGGGGUCGCCA
Molecule: transfer RNA, 75 nt
Filed under: bacterium
Lineage: Bacteria
Also listed under: 1 other name
Description: tRNA-Glu
Rfam family: tRNA
About the family: Transfer RNA (tRNA) molecules are approximately 80 nucleotides in length.
Source: RNAcentral